GCAUCGGUGGCUUAGUGGUAGAAUGCUCGCCUGCCACGCGGGCAGCCCAGGUUCGAUUCCCGGCCGAUGCA
This 71-nucleotide transfer RNA is filed under the name Cordylochernes scorpioides. RNAcentral's name for it is "tRNA-Gly". It matches the Rfam family "tRNA". Rfam says of the family: Transfer RNA (tRNA) molecules are approximately 80 nucleotides in length. Lineage: Eukaryota; Metazoa; Arthropoda; Arachnida; Pseudoscorpiones; Chernetidae. The record is from RNAcentral.